GCCAGGCACAGUGGCGCGUGCCGGUAGCCCCAGUUAUUCAGGAGGCUGAGGCUGGAGGAUCUCUUGAGCCCAGGAGUUCUGGGCUGUAGUGCGCUAUGCCGAUUGGGUGGCCACAAUAUGUUUGGCAUCAAUAUGGUGACCUCCUGGGAGCGGGGGACCACCAGCUUGCCUAAGAAGGGGUGAACCGGCCCAGGUCGAAAAUGGAGCAGGUCAAAACUCCCAUGCUGAUCACUAGCAGGAUUGUACCUGUGAAUAGCCACUGCACUCCAGCCUGGGCAACAUAUAGAGACUCCGUCUCUU
Molecule: unclassified non-coding RNA, 300 nt
Organism: Callithrix jacchus (white-tufted-ear marmoset)
Lineage: Eukaryota; Metazoa; Chordata; Mammalia; Primates; Cebidae
Rfam family: Metazoan signal recognition particle RNA
About the family: The signal recognition particle (SRP) is a universally conserved ribonucleoprotein. It is involved in the co-translational targeting of proteins to membranes.
Source: Ensembl